AAAAACACAUUAUUUUCCACACACUGUACAUUAUUGUAUCUCCUCUAUGCCCCGCCUUUCUGAAAUGCGUCAUUUUUUACAAAGCUCAUCGGUCUGAAAAGCAAGGUGUACACUGAUUGGCCAAAUGCCUCAAGCGUUUGAUGGAAAUGUUACGCCCCUUGACAUACUAUGAUGCGUGUCCCGGUCAGAACACCGGCGCGACAAGACUACACAUUAAAACCCAUUACAAACGAGCCAUUUGUUGAAUCCAGUGGGGACAUAAUUACUGAUUAUAAUGACUUAUACUUUCUUUUUAUGCAUUGAGUUGCAUUGCACUGCGUAAACAUGAAACCAUGUCUGCAUUUGUGAUCGGAGAAACGACAAACAAGAAGCGCUACUCUACACUGCUUAAUACUCGCGUUUGAAUCAUCAGUGGCAAAUCCUUUAAAUAUGAAAACGUACUUACAGACUGUGAGUCAGAACGGAAAUAGUCCUCCAUAAAAUGUGCUGCACACAUCUGAAUAUUUGGGUUAAACUGUUCUGGAACAGUGUUGUAAAUACAACUUAACCACAGAUUUCUAGUUGUGUACUCUUUUGGAAGGCCAAACAAAGUAUUUUCACUUUCACAAUGAAACAGCAUCUCCACAACAUGGCGCCGGCGGCAAUAGCGAGAAUCAAAGUUACGCCUUCUUUCUUUGCGUGAACAUUUGGCCAGCGUUAUGCAAAUCUUCCCACAUCAUGACAUAGACAUGUGGGGGUGUGUUUAAACAAGGCGUUUUAGGUGGGUGUGGACAAGUCUUAACUUUUAUUAAGAAUAUCUCUUUGGGUUUGAGACUUUAGUCUUUGCAACUUUAGGGAUCUUAUCUAUUUUCGAACAGCUUGUAACACUCCAAAGAGAAAGGAAAACUUGAAAUCGCAUCAUAUGACCCCUUUAAUAUCACUACUCAUCAUAACUACCUGGUACAUUUUCAGCGCAAUGCGAGACAUUCAAACUAAUAGCACGUAAUUUACGUCUCUAUGAUGAUUGGUUGAUAUACCAGAAGGGAGGCUAGUCUCCCCUACGAGGUUUCUUUUCUUAACACUCCUCAGUGCUAAAAGUGAACACUCAAUGCUGAUUGGCUAUUUUUUUUUUUUUACCAACGGAGGCACAAGAGCUCAGCUCUCCCCCGCGCCCCCCUUCUCUAUUACAUAGCGGUUGUAAUUACAUCAGCAGAUUCGGCACAUUCACGAUAGAAAGGCGGUGCUUUCCAACUUCAGUAACGUUAUGGUAUUACAGCUGUGAAAUUACAAACAAAUAAUACACAUUCUGAGACAUGAACUGAAAUUAAUUGUGAAUUUUAUUAACAUUAAAUCAUCCUCCUCCCAUUUUCACCUCAAAAUUUUGGGGAAGCUGUGCCUCCACUGCCUCCUCCGAAGAGCCGCCACUGAAAACCAACAUGCAGAAGAUUUGUCCUCAAGUAAUUCUAGCGUCUGUUCUUGACUGUAGAUUAAUUCUAUCAGAAGUCAGAGCUGUGUUUUUUUAUUAUCAUAGCAGAUGGGAGAUGAGUAUGUUAAUUCUGCCCUCUUCUUGACAACAGACACUACAUAAACCAAUGCAAUCUAAACAUGAUUAAGCCAGCAGCACACUGACAUCACUGUAAAGUAAGACUGAAAAUUGGCCAGGAGAAAAUGUGUUAGAAACAGACAGAAGACAUUAAGGAAAAAAAAAAGCCUGUGAUUACAAGGUGACUCUGACUUUAUGUACUCUCCAGAUGUGUCAAACGUUAUUGCAGGAUUUGUCAAGGACACACUUUGUAGAGAAAUAUUUCUUUUUUAAAUCUCUCUGUUUACUGAACAUGAACAUGCUGUUUAUGAAGAGUAUUUACUGUGGAAUUGUUCAUUUCUAUAUUUCUAAUGAUGUAUUAGCAAUGCAAAAGCAAUGUUGUAAACUUUGUCAAUAUUUAUGGCUUUGUGAAUCUUGUUAUAUUAGUGUGGACUACAUGCUAACAGUGAGUACGGUUGUUUCAAAAUUGAUUGUGACUGACUCGUUUUGAUUUUAUAAACACCUUGCAACAAGAAGUAAAACAGUCUGUGUUCAGGGUUAAUUUUUUCUCUCCGAACUGCCUGGAUACGGACUAAAAAUGGUCUGUCCUUCAGACUGAUAUACAGUUACUGUAAUUCCUUUUUAUUUUAUUUUUUUAUUUUGCAUCAUUGCAUCAGACACACCUUCAAAGGUCCCUCAUGUAAAAAUACUGUAAUGUUUUUUAUGCUUUUUGGGUUUGAGUUGAUGGUGCGACACCUGAUUCUGUCACCAUUUCCUUUUCCUGAAUGGAAAAAAUGAUGCAUGAAAAAUGAAAAAUGAUUCAUUCUUUAUACUGUAGGUGCAAGAUAACUGCCACAAGUCUCCAGACUUUUGUAUGUCUUGUAUACAGUAUACAGCAUUACAAUGAAAAGUGAGAUUUAUCUGUUCAAACGGCGAUGUGAUUCAUCAUGAAUCUAUUCACACUGAACUUUCAGCUGUCUUUUCUGCUUUAACCAAUGAGGGAGCGGAAAUCUGCUUUUGGUAAUGUAAUCAAGCACUGCCCAGCCCAGGGCCUGGCUCCAGCAGUGCCUCUGACAUUGUUGGAAAUAGGACAGUUCUGACAAUGAUUCAACCUCCUGUGCUUUCAGUCCUUGAUGAAUGCAUAGAACUGGUGCGAAUCUUGUGACGUGCACAAGUACGAUGUCCCAAGUAGCGAGAUGAAAACUGUCACAAAGAAUAAAAUUACAGAGUAUGAAGAGGGAGCUAGGGCAGAUGAUGAUUUCAGGUCAGUGCUGGGAAACUUGAGAAAUGCCUCAUCAUUCUUACUAUAUUAAUGUGAUUAGUAAUGUGUUAGUGAUGUAGACGUGAUGUGGUCACAACUCCGAGUACCACUGAGGCAAAAUAUUUGUCACAAUCCGGUCACUGACCUUAACUGCAUAUGUAAACUUUUUCAUCAUGCGCUAGACGAUAAUAAAAUAUGGCGCUGUUGAAACAGACAUCAAUCAUACAAAAUUUUAUUGUGGCAAAGUUUUUAAACUGAGGAAAGUGAAUAAAUUGAAAUGUCUGUACUUAUAUUGUUAUGUUUGUUUCCAGUGAUCAUUGUCAUUUGUCAGAGUCCAAAGUUUGUGAGUUUCAGAAUGAUGUAAUAAUAAUAUAAUGUGCUCAGGGUAAUAAAUCAAUGUGAAAGGGCUUGAAUACAAGUCUAUUCUUCUUUUGCCUCUGUGUUGAGCGUCAAUGAUGUGAUGCUCUUUUUUUUUUUUUUGUCCGGAUCUUCUAUUAUGAGCAUGUUUUUCAUUUUAGAAUUAAAAUUCUGAAUUUUGGGAGCAAAAAGUAAAAAUGUCAAGGUGAUACACCUGUUCUAAAAUC
This is a long non-coding RNA of Cyprinus carpio carpio, 3346 nucleotides long. The record is from Ensembl. Lineage: Eukaryota; Metazoa; Chordata; Actinopteri; Cypriniformes; Cyprinidae.